Molecule: long non-coding RNA, 1600 nt
Filed under: Anser brachyrhynchus (Pink-footed goose)
Lineage: Eukaryota; Metazoa; Chordata; Aves; Anseriformes; Anatidae
Description: lncRNA (ENSABRG00000005683.1)
Source: RNAcentral
AUUUUACAUAGGAUUUAAGAGUACAAAAGGUUUAUUGCUGCCUGAGUGGAGCCUGUAUAGUCCAGCUUGUUUUACUGACUCUUUCCCCAAUUUUUUUUCAGUAGACACCUGAUCACCAAGCCCAGACCUGCUCACCUUGCUCCCAGAUACUGAGCUUCAACAGGGCAAGCAGCAGCUCCUGUGCAGAAGCACAGUGGUGUUAUGAGGAGACACGUUCUCCAAACACAUGAGAUUUUGGAGCUGGGAAAUUUGGAGCAAUUUGCUUUUAAUUGUGUGCAUUUAUCUCAGAUUUUUCACCGCUUCCUUUGCUCUGAGCAACCCCAGCCCAUGAGUUUAUCUCACUGUCACGCAAUCUACUUUGGUGAGCAGGUUGCAGCUGCAGCUGGCUCGAUGCAGGUUUUCUCCUCCAAAUACUGGAACUUCUCCUCCACCCCGUCUGCCCCCACAGUAUACCUCCCUGAGGACCACAGUUUUUUAAGAAAGACGUGGAGCAGGGGAGACUGGGAAGAUCCCGCACAGGCUGAAUGCCCAUGGGAAAACACGGCGAGGAUGUGCAGUGUGAGAUGGGACCUGAGAAUCUCCCUGCAGAAAGCCUCCUGAGCUGAGUACUCACCUCACCUCCCAGCAGCGAGGCACAGCUCGAGGACAUGGCAAACAGAAAUCCCAGCACAGUUUUCAGCACACUCAGCAAAUUAGUAGAAGUGUCUCUGUUGAAUAUGUAAGUGUGUUUAGGCACUUCAGACUCCUUGGCUGUGCUUGAUUGUCUAAUUUUGCAUAUUUUUAGGAAUGAGGAAUCUGUGCGUGACUUUGAACACUCUGUAUCGUAUUCAGUUAUGUUUAUUUUUAAAGUGCAGUGUGAGGAGAGAACAUUUCAGCAUAAGUGUUACAUUUCUUUAGCUAAUAAUUGACAUGCUUUAACAUGCAUUUUCCAUGGUAACUGAGAGGAUUUAGUUAUAUCCAUUGCCUUUGAUGUCAAAGAUUACCUCCUCGCCAUCUGCAAUUACUCAUUUCUUUCCCACUCCCAUAAAUUCCCACUUUAUCCACUGUGUUAAGUGAAUGUUUGAGGAGCUGGACUGUAAACCAGAUAACCGAAGUGGUAACAAACUACAGCAUUUGGGCAGAAGCAGGUGGCCACAGAUAAGGGCAGAAGCAAGAACUUGUACGUUUAAGUUGGCUAUGUUGCCACAACUGUUGUGCUGCUGCACUCUGAGCGGGUUAGCACGAUGGAGGACCCAUUGUCAACACAUUGGGUAUUGACUUUCUCCUCCACAGUCCUACAAUGUGUGUAUACAGGUCUUGGAUCACCUGCCAUCAUGACCCCAGAAUGACAAGAUGAUUAAUAUCAGAUGAAAUUUAUACAGUGAACCAAGAACCUUCUUGCUGCACACACUUUUUUUCUGAAGGAGUGGAGUUAGAUAGUGAUACAAAGCAGUUUUCUAGAGAGGGGUCAGGGAUGGACAGGAAUUCCUUAUGAUAAUAAGGAACUUGACAUGAGAAAUCAGUCUGAAAACACUAAAAUCAAAUCCAUGGAGAAACAAGGCAAGUAUUUGGAUUACAUUCACCCCUGCUUUAUGUAGUACAUUCCUCAGGGCCUUGCUCC